Molecule: non-coding RNA, 230 nt
Filed under: Eubacterium sp.
Lineage: Bacteria; Bacillati; Bacillota; Clostridia; Eubacteriales; Eubacteriaceae
Description: T-box sequence
Rfam family: T-box leader
About the family: Uncharged tRNA acts as the effector for transcription antitermination of genes in the T-box leader family. T-boxes are found upstream of many aminoacyl-tRNA synthetase genes and some amino acid biosynthetic genes usually in Gram-positive bacteria. The anticodon of a specific tRNA base pairs to a specifier sequence within the T-box motif, and the NCCA acceptor tail of the tRNA base pairs to a conserved bulge in the T-box antiterminator hairpin.
Source: RNAcentral
UUAAAAACUGUGAUUAGGCGAGUAAUUAUUUAUCCUUCUUCAGAGAGUCGGCGCUUUGGUGCAAGCCGAUGUGGGAAAAUAAUGAAAAACACCUAUGAGUUUUCUGAAAGAACGCAAUAAUUCGUUAUUGUUAUUAGACUCGGACGUGCAGGAGCGUUAAUCCUUUGAGUGAGUUGCAUAUUUUGCGGCUAAUUUAGGUGGUACCACGGAAGCAGUCUUUCGUCCUAUUG